RNAcentral lists this ribosomal RNA (320 nucleotides) under Ligilactobacillus salivarius. Its description in RNAcentral is "bacterial SSU rRNA". It matches the Rfam family "Bacterial small subunit ribosomal RNA", at positions 383 to 695 of the family's 1533-position model. The record is from RNAcentral. Lineage: Bacteria; Bacillati; Bacillota; Bacilli; Lactobacillales; Lactobacillaceae.
CUGAUGGAGCAACGCCGCGUGAGUGAAGAAGGUCUUCGGAUCGUAAAACUCUGUUGUUAGAGAAGAACACGAGUGAGAGUAACUGUUCAUUCGAUGACGGUAUCUAACCAGCAAGUCACGGCUAACUACGUGCCAGCAGCCGCGGUAAUACGUAGGUGGCAAGCGUUGUCCGGAUUUAUUGGGCGUAAAGGGAACGCAGGCGGUCUUUUAAGUCUGAUGUGAAAGCCUUCGGCUUAACCGGAGUAGUGCAUUGGAAACUGGAAGACUUGAGUGCAGAAGAGGAGAGUGGAACUCCAUGUGUAGCGGUGAAAUGCGUAGAU